ACUUAAUAGUUACAACUUUCAACAACGGAUCUCUUGGUUCUGGCAUCGAUGAAGAACGCAGCGAAAUGCGAUAAGUAGUGUGAAUUGCAGAAUUCAGUGAAUCAUCGAAUCUUUGAACGCACAUUGCGCCCCUUGGUAUUCCAUGGGGCAUGCCUGU
RNAcentral lists this ribosomal RNA (157 nucleotides) under Ascochyta fabae. RNAcentral describes it as "5.8S ribosomal RNA". It matches the Rfam family "5.8S ribosomal RNA". Rfam says of the family: 5.8S ribosomal RNA (5.8S rRNA) is a component of the large subunit of the eukaryotic ribosome. It is transcribed by RNA polymerase I as part of the 45S precursor that also contains 18S and 28S rRNA. Functionally, it is thought that 5.8S rRNA may be involved in ribosome translocation. RNAcentral also lists the same sequence under 3 other names. The record is from RNAcentral. Lineage: Eukaryota; Fungi; Ascomycota; Dothideomycetes; Pleosporales; Didymellaceae.